GAUAAUUGCCAAGCCCUUUCCUUUAUCGAUUAAGUGCAGCACAGCCAUUCAAAGUCCUCAAUCCACCAUCCAGAAUCCAUGCGUACGCAGCCACUGGGACAGCCACCACCGACAGCCAACCACUGCCACUACGAUCACCACUGCCACCAAUGACAGAGAUUAGUAAUUGUAAGUAAUAAAUUGCAAUUUUCGACUCAACAUAUUAUAUAAAAACUAAAUCUGUUUUCAACUACGUAAUCAUUGUUUUCAAAUUAUACUGGGAUGGAACUGGCAAUCCUUUGGGAAGGUUUGCCAUAUGUGGAACUGUCACUUUGGACAUCACGCUUUAACUAAAUCUGACAGCCUCCCUUGUUCAAUUAUUUAUUCAAUUCUGCAGGUACAUGAUAUUUCUUCUUAGUG
This 399-nucleotide long non-coding RNA is filed under the name Citrus sinensis (sweet orange). RNAcentral's name for it is "long non-coding RNA (CSIN_LNC004541)". The record is from RNAcentral. Lineage: Eukaryota; Viridiplantae; Streptophyta; Magnoliopsida; Sapindales; Rutaceae.